UACGUAGGCAGCGAGCGUUGUUCGGAGUUACUGGGCGUAAAGCGUGCGUAGGCGGUGGUCCAAGUCUGGUGUGAAAUCUCCCGGCUCAACUGGGAGGGUGCGCCGGAAACUGGGCCGCUGGAGUGUGGGAGAGGCAAGCGGAAUUCCAGGUGUAGCGGUGAAAUGCGUAGAUAUCUGCAGGAACACCCGUGGCGAAAGCGGCGCGCUGGACCACUACUGACGCUGAGGAACGAAAGCUAGGGGAGCAAACAGG
This 253-nucleotide ribosomal RNA is filed under the name uncultured bacterium. RNAcentral describes it as "partial 16S ribosomal RNA". It matches the Rfam family "Bacterial small subunit ribosomal RNA", at positions 524 to 776 of the family's 1533-position model. The record is from RNAcentral.